This 294-nucleotide long non-coding RNA is filed under the name Malus domestica (apple). RNAcentral's name for it is "long non-coding RNA (MDOM_LNC002735)". The record is from RNAcentral. Lineage: Eukaryota; Viridiplantae; Streptophyta; Magnoliopsida; Rosales; Rosaceae.
UUUUUAUCCCGGUGAUUAACAAUUCAAAGUAUACAUGCAAUCAAUCACAAGCAAUUAAAUAAAAAUCACAUAUUCAUGCUAAGGCUCAAGGCUUCGCCCUAGCAAAAGAAAUUAGUUACACAUAUUCAUAAUUGAAAUCAUAGAUAAUAUAAUUAAGAAAAUGAUUGAAAGCACCUUCAAGUAGAAAAUCUUCAAAACCCUAGCAAUUCUCUCUGUCUCCAAAAUUGCAUAAAAGAAAGCGUAGCAAAAAAAAAUGUGGUAGACGGCUAAGCCAUAUAUUUGCUAAACCACCAC